Non-coding RNA from Nematostella vectensis (starlet sea anemone), 72 nucleotides. NCBI's taxonomy places the organism in Eukaryota, Metazoa, Cnidaria, Anthozoa, Actiniaria, Edwardsiidae. The record is from Rfam.
GCCGUGAUCGUAUAGUGGUUAGUACAUUACGUAGUGGCCGCAAUAACGCAGGUUGGAAUCCUGGUCACGGCA